RNAcentral lists this ribosomal RNA (420 nucleotides) under bacterium. RNAcentral describes it as "partial 16S ribosomal RNA". It matches the Rfam family "Bacterial small subunit ribosomal RNA", at positions 355 to 776 of the family's 1533-position model. The record is from RNAcentral.
UGGGGGAUAUUGCACAAUGGGCGAAAGCCUGAUGCAGCGACGCCGCGUGGGGGAUGAAGGCUUUCGGGUUGUAAACCUCUUUCGCUAUCGAACAAGGCCCGCUUAGGGUGGGUUGAGGGUAGGUGGAGAAGAAGCGCCGGCUAACUACGUGCCAGCAGCCGCGGUAAUACGUAGGGCGCGAGCGUUGUCCGGAAUUAUUGGGCGUAAAGGGCUUGUAGGCGGCUUGUUGCGCCUGCUGUGAAAACGCGGGGCUUAACUUCGCGCGUGCUGUGGGUACGGACAGGCUUGAGUGUGGUAGGGGUGACUGGAAUUCCAGGUGUAGCGGUGGAAUGCGCAGAUAUCUGGAGGAACACCGAUGGCGAAGGCAGGUCACUGGGCCAUUACUGACGCUGAGGAGCGAAAGCAUGGGUAGCGAACAGG